CAAAAAGUAUUAUGGGUUCCCAGAAAUCGUCACUUUUCUUCGACAAUAACAUUGCCAUGAUCAAACCAAGUGUGAAUCCAAUAAAUAUUUGUAUUCCUUUUUCUUUUUUUUUUUUUUUUUUUUUUUUUUUUUUUUUUUUUUUUUUUUUUUUUUUUUUUUUUUUUUUUUUUUUUUUUUUUUUUUUUUUUUUUUUUUUUUUUU
RNAcentral lists this long non-coding RNA (201 nucleotides) under Panax ginseng (ginseng). RNAcentral's name for it is "long non-coding RNA (PGIN_LNC000177)". Lineage: Eukaryota; Viridiplantae; Streptophyta; Magnoliopsida; Apiales; Araliaceae. The record is from RNAcentral.